GGUGAGCUGGCCGAGUGGCUGAAGGCGCGCCCCUGCUAAGGGCGUAUAGGAGAAAUUCUAUCGAGGGUUCGAAUCCCUCGCUCACCGCCA
RNAcentral lists this transfer RNA (90 nucleotides) under Pontibacterium sp. Its description in RNAcentral is "tRNA-Ser". It matches the Rfam family "tRNA". Rfam says of the family: Transfer RNA (tRNA) molecules are approximately 80 nucleotides in length. The record is from RNAcentral. Lineage: Bacteria; Pseudomonadati; Pseudomonadota; Gammaproteobacteria; Oceanospirillales; Oceanospirillaceae. RNAcentral also lists the same sequence under 1 other name.